UAUUACAGGUUGCGAAACGGAAAUCAAUCAGUCAGUGUAUCUUCAUACGUUCAUUAUUGGAUUAGCUUGCAUUCCUACGAGUUUUUGGCUGCCAUUAUGUGUACACAAAUUGGGGAUAAAAUUUUUUUUAGUUUUCAGCUUGACAGCAGCUGGAGUAAUAACAUUUGGACUUUACUUCGUUAGAAGCUCGGCUGAAAAUUUAAUGUUAUCAGCAGUUUUUGAAGCAUUAACUUCCUUGAGUAUAAGUACUCUGUAUUGCGUUUUGGUUGAUUUAUUCCCAACAAAUUUAAGAGUAAUGGCUGCCGCAAUGUCUCUAACAUUUGGACGGGGAGGAGCGCUACUUGGAAACUUAAUAUUCGGAUUUCUUAUUGACUACAAUUGCACUAUUCCACUUAUUCUCUUUUCGGGAAUGUUAUUUUUAUGUGCGUUCUUAUGUUGGCUUUUACCAAAGACUGGAUCGGAAGCACUGGAUUAAACCUACAAUAAUGGAAAAAUCUUCUAUACUAAUCGUGUUAAUAUUAAUUGAGAAUCA
Long non-coding RNA from Drosophila serrata, 532 nucleotides. The record is from RefSeq and is a predicted model, not a curated record. Lineage: Eukaryota; Metazoa; Arthropoda; Insecta; Diptera; Drosophilidae.